This is a long non-coding RNA of Amphimedon queenslandica, 434 nucleotides long. RefSeq lists it as uncharacterized. Lineage: Eukaryota; Metazoa; Porifera; Demospongiae; Haplosclerida; Niphatidae. The record is from RefSeq and is a predicted model, not a curated record. The transcript is spliced from 3 exons.
GUACAUGUACUCACUGUACUGGUAGAGAAUGUUAUGAGAUAGUGAUGAGGUUAAUUGUAUUGUAGUGAUGGCUUCUGUUACUAAAUUGUGUCUAUCUUUUCCUUUUCUUCUCGUCUUCCUUCACUAUACACUACCCUCCCUCCUCCUCUAUCUUUAUCUUUAUUUCUUUUUGUGUAGUUGAGGAAUCCUUUCAUAAACAGGUUGAAGAGUUGAAGUCAUUUUAUAAGAAGGAGGUUCAUGAGUUACAGUCAAGACAUGAUAAGGAGCUAAUGGAGAUGCAUUCAAGUUACCAGUCAUCAAUUGAAAAGUUAAGACAAGAGAUUUCUCACGAAAGGAAUUAAUAGAGAAAUGCUAGUCAUUAGGUUAUGUAUAUUGUUUUAUUGUCUUUUUAUAAAUUACUCUCUCUUUGAUAUAAAACUGCACAUUAUUAUUAU